AGCAAAGCAUAAAAAAGUGAUAAAAAUGUCACAGUAUAGUAAGGGAUAAAAGGUCAUAAAAAAGUCAUAGUAAGUAAGGCAUAAAAAGUCAUAAAAACGACAUAAUAUAGUGAGGAAUAAAAAUGUAAUAGUAUAGUAAGGCAUAAAAGGUCAUAAAAAUGUCAUAGUAUAUUAAGGCAUAAAAAGUCAUAAAAAUGUCAUAGUAUAGUAAGGCAUAAAAAGUCAUAAAUAUGUCAUAGUAUAGUAAGGCAUAAAAAGUCAUAAAAACAUUAUAGUUUAGUUAGAGAUAAAAAGGCAUAAAAAGUCAUAGUAUAGCAAAGCAUAAAAACGUGAUAAAAAUGUCAUAGUAUAGUAAGGGAUAAAAGGUCAUAAAAAAGUCAUAGUAUAGUAAGGCAUAAAAAGUCAUAAAAACGACAUAAUAUAGUGAGGAAUAAAAAUGUAAUAGUAUAGUAAGGCAUAAAAGGUCAUAAAAAUGUCAUAGUAUAAUAAGGCAUAAAAAGUCAUAAAUAUGUCAUAGUAUAGUAAGGCAUAAAAAGUCAUAAAAACAUUAUAGUUUAGUUAGAGAUAAAAAGGCAUAAAAAGUCAUAGUAUAGCAAAGCAUAAAAACGUGAUAAAAAUGUCAUAGUAUAGUAAGGGAUAAAAGGUCAUAAAAAUGUCAUAGUAUAGUAAGGGAUAAAAGGUCAUAAAAAAGUCAUAGUAUAGUAAGGCAUAAAAAGUCAUAAAAACGACAUAAUAUAGUGAGGAAUAAAAAUGUAAUAGUAUAGUAAGACAUAAAAGGUCAUAAAAAUGUCAUAGUAUAGUAAGGCAUAAAAAGUCAUAAAAAUGUCAUAGUAUAGUAAGGCAUAAAAAGUCAUAAAUAUGUCAUAGUAUAGUAAGGCAUAAAAAGUCAUAAAAACAUUAUAGUUUAGUUAGAGAUAAAAAGGCAUAAAAAGUCAUAGUAUAGCAAAGCAUAAAAACAUGAUAAAAAUGUCAUAGUAUAGUGAGGGAUAAAAGGUCAUAAAAAAGUCAUAGUAUAGUGAGGAAUAAAA
Seriola aureovittata is the source of this 1028-nucleotide long non-coding RNA. RefSeq lists it as uncharacterized. The record is from RefSeq and is a predicted model, not a curated record. The transcript has 2 exons. Lineage: Eukaryota; Metazoa; Chordata; Actinopteri; Carangiformes; Carangidae.